Molecule: long non-coding RNA, 1493 nt
Organism: Gigantopelta aegis
Lineage: Eukaryota; Metazoa; Mollusca; Gastropoda; Neomphalida; Peltospiridae
Exons: 2
Source: RefSeq, a predicted model, not a curated record
UAUUUAUUACACUAAUUAAACACGAAAUGUAAGCUAUCAGAGUAAACUGCACCACCUGUAGUGUUGAGCUACUGACUGAAUUAAUAAUCAACCGUUAAGAUAAGUUAAUAGGCUACGUUUAAUGAUUUUUAAUACACAGUAAUUUAACGAAACAAAAUGAAUACAGGGCCAGUAACUAUAUUCGGCAUUUUUCUUUAAAAGUUUUCACUCGUUCUAAAGUCUACGUUUUGACAUGUUCUAAAACAAAAUUAUGUUCUUCAACUUUUACAAUCAACGUGUAAUGAUUCCUAGCAGAAUGCGCAUUUUCGUAGGUUUUACAAAAAUGCACAAAAAUCUCAUCGUGUGUAAGAUGUUUGCAUGCAACAUGGGUCAUAUGUUACUAAAACAAUGUUUAGAAGUUAUAUGUGAUUAAAACUUACUAAAAUAAUAUGAAAUUAGCAAAUAAUUUCCACAAUUCUACUGUCCAUGCAAGUAAUACUACUAAAGGUACCUGUGUUGAAACCAAAAUCUAUUGAUUGAUAUACUUUAAAUUGCACAUAUAUGCACUGGCGUAUCUGGGUAGCCAGGGAUUGGGCACAACAGGACCUCUUUUUUCACAAUACCAACUUUUAUAAUACAUGCCACCCCAUAAAAUGUGCAAAAGCAGUGCUCUCUAUCCACUCCACCCCCAAUAAAACAAUCCUGGCUACCCUAAAAUAUAUAUAUAUAUAUAUAUAUAUAUAUGGCUAGUGAAUUGUCACAGAAAAGAUUAGUUUCAUGUAUUUUAUGAUGUUAGAGGGGGUUUAUAUAAUAAAUGCCAAUAUUUUGUCCAUAUCUGGUAGAGCAUGAGCAUACUGGGUAAAUUGUGAAAACGUUGUCAUAACUUUUUAUGAGCAGUAUAUUGAGUUUCUUCAGUGGGAAAUUAAGCUGCAGGUAAAAAGCAUGCAGGCUGUGGGAAAGGUAAAUGUCACCUGUCUGUUCAUCAGUGCAUUUGCCAAGAAGGUUUCCAGCAGGCAAGUUGACUGGGAAAUGGCUCUUAGGAGCUUUUUGGGUUUGAGCGUGAGCCAGAACCACGAGAACCUUUUGGUUUGAGCGUGAGCCAGAACCAUGAGAAGUAUGUAAGCUACGAGAGCUAUGAUAGCUAUGUGAGCUAUAACUGGGUGUGAGGGAUGACACAGAUGUGACCAGCGGGACUGUAGGAGAACCAUCUGCAAGAGAUGUCAACAGCCAACCAUCCAAGAUGUGCUAGUGUCUGGUCGUCAUCAAGAUACGGAUAGUAUUUGCAAUGACAGUGAAUUUCAGAUGAGUUUAUACUGAUACAAACUGAACUGGUUUAAAAUGAUUAUUUAACUAAGGCUCGAACAUUGACUAGAAGCUAGUUGGCUCAGACUGGUUUACCAUGGACACCAGAAUACAGUUUUUUGGGGGGUUUAAUUUAAGGUUGGGGUAGUGAUGUUUGGAGUGAAAUCGUCAUUGUGUAUAUUUAUAUUUUGUAUAUAAAUUUGUUGAAAUGU